Molecule: long non-coding RNA, 1415 nt
Filed under: Homo sapiens (human)
Lineage: Eukaryota; Metazoa; Chordata; Mammalia; Primates; Hominidae
Description: HSALNT0382703
Source: RNAcentral
AAAUAAUAUAUGUGAAGCAGCGACGGGAUAUAACGCUGCUGCAGGUCUGUUGGAGUUUGCUGGAGGUCCACUCCAGACCCUGUUUGCCUGGGUAUCACCAGUGGAGGCUCAGUUGGAAAUGCAGAAAUCACCAUCUUCUGUGUGGAUCACGCUGCGAGCUGCAGACCGGAGCUGUUCCUAUUCGACCAUUUUGGAACGGAAAACCCUGAGCAUACUAUUCUACAAUCCAGUUUUUUACUAUUUACAAUCUCACCAUCUUCCAGUGACCAUGCAUAAAGGCCACCCUCAUUCUCUUAAAUAACUCUACUGUAUACUAUUAGCUUAUGUGAUAUAUUGGUCAAGGUUCUUAGUUAUGGAUAACAUAAUCUCCUCUUGUUAGUUUAGGCAAAAGGGAAUUUAUUAAGGAGUAUAUAUAUAGUUCACCUGGAAGAACUUAAGAAAUCAUUUUCAAAAUAAGCUUCCACAAAAAUUUUACCACAGACCAGGACUGACAAGGGAGCCACUGCCUCUGCCAUAAUCAGAAACUUGCAACAGAGCUGUAGAGUCCAGAAUCACUCGUCUCUUCCAAGGUCAAGAAGCUGCCAAGUUAGGAAACCAGCUUGCAAAUCAAGAUGCCACCUAACAACUUCUAGCUCCAAUCUCUUGUUGCCUCUAUUACAUUCCAUGCAAGCAAAAUAAAUGUUGUGCUUUGACUCUCUCCUUAUGUAGCUCUCUUCUGAAUCAAAGUAUCAUGUGAAUACAUAUAGUAGGUGAAACCUAAAUUGUAUGUGGAACCUUUCUGCAAGAGCAUGGGAAAUUCCCUAUUAGCUUUUCAGCUUCUAUAGUGUAACAAGACACUAAAUUGUUUGAGACACUUAAUAGUUGUGUUUCUACCACAUAGGGAUAGACCAUUAUUUAUUGAUUGUUUUUAUAAACACCAUUACAGAGGAAACAGUUUUUUUUUUCAGUAAAGCUCUAGAAUUUAGAAAUUGUGAGUUUAUUGGAGGUCUCUGAUUAAAAUGCAAUUACAACACAAAAUGUUUUUUAAGGUUAAUCAUCUUUCAGUUUGUUUUUUGCACAGGCGACAUCCUUGUCCACGUGGAACCACAAGGAUUUAUGAAAAUUCUGGGGUGUUUUGCCCUACAACUGAAUAUUUGGAAAAAUAUCCUAUGUAUAACAAUGUUCUUCCACCUCAGAGUCUUAAACCCAAGCAAGAAAUUCGAGCAUGCCGUGGUAAAAUGGAAGGAAUAACUACAUUUAAGUAAACAUUUAGUAACUAUUUGCUUUACUUAUUUUUCUCGCAACUAUUCUGGUGUCAAUAAAAUUUUCUAGCUAUUUAAUUACUGUUUCAUUGAUUUAAGUUGAACCAAUCUAAUAAGUAAGAGACUAGUUAAGUCACAACUUGAAAAAAACAGAAAAAUGAGAAUUAGGUUGAC